Long non-coding RNA from Papaver somniferum (opium poppy), 672 nucleotides. RefSeq lists it as uncharacterized. The transcript has 3 exons. Lineage: Eukaryota; Viridiplantae; Streptophyta; Magnoliopsida; Ranunculales; Papaveraceae. The record is from RefSeq and is a predicted model, not a curated record.
UCUUCAUCCACCAGCCUCUUGUUCUCUAUUUUUAUAGAAAAAGUUCAGUCUCCAUUAGGAAAACAGUCAAAAUCAAGAAACUGGAAAGAUCGUUUCUGUAGUAUCUUUUAUUUCAUUCAGAUUGUUUCCGAUCAUCAUCAAACCACCCAUUUUUUUCAUCAUUCUAAAGGUUAAAAAAAAAUUCAAGAAAGAAAUAGAAGCAGUACAACACGAUUGGACUUUAGAUAAAGCUGUUAAUUACUAUGGAAGGAAAUAAGAGAACCAAUAAGGAUGCUGCUGGUGUUAAACACUGGUGUGACAUAUGUAACGCUAAUAUCACUGUGACUCUUGACUAAUUUAACCAGCAUCGAACUACAUAUGCAAGAGUUGUUACAGCAGCAGAGGAAAGCUGAAGAAGAGUUGAAGAGAGAAAAUGAGGAGUCGGGCCAGGAAAAGAAAAAGGAGGCUAAUUUAUAUGAAUAUAAAAAGAAACAAAGGAGAUUUUAGAUGCUUCUUCCGGUGGAGUUCACUGCUCAAAGUCAUGAUAUUCUUUUAGCUUAUGUCUCUUUUAGAGAUCUCUGGUGUUAUUUAUUUAGAGUUUCAUUUGAGUAUUUUUAUGAACUUAAAAGUGUUUUUAGUUUUGAAACUUUUUAUGAACUCCGAAGUUUUUUUAGAUUCUUUAACUCUGUGAUA